CAUGCAAGUCGGACGAGAAAUCCUGAGCAAUCGGGAGAGUAAAGUGGCGCACGGGUGAGUAACGCGUGGGUAAUCUACCCUGAAGUUGGGAAUAACACCUCGAAAGGGGUGCUAAUACCCAAUAACAUCCCUGGGGUUCCGGCCGCGGGGAUCAAAGAUGGCUGAGGCUUGCAAGCUAUUGCUGCAGGAUGAGCCCGCGUACCAUUAGCUAGUUGGUGGGGUAAUGGCUCACCAAGGCAAUGAUGGUUAGCUGGUCUGAGAGGAUGGCCAGCCACACUGGAACUGAGACACGGUCCAGACUCCUACGGGAGGCAGCAGUGAGGAAUCUUGCGCAAUGGGGGCAACCCUGACGCAGCAACGCCGCGUGAGUGAUGAAGGCCUUCGGGUCGUAAAGCUCUGUCAGAUGGGAAGAAAGUUUCGUUCCCGAAUAAGGAACGGAAU
RNAcentral lists this ribosomal RNA (441 nucleotides) under uncultured bacterium. Its description in RNAcentral is "bacterial SSU rRNA". It matches the Rfam family "Bacterial small subunit ribosomal RNA", at positions 54 to 478 of the family's 1533-position model. The record is from RNAcentral.